This 254-nucleotide ribosomal RNA is filed under the name uncultured bacterium. RNAcentral's name for it is "partial 16S ribosomal RNA". It matches the Rfam family "Bacterial small subunit ribosomal RNA", at positions 524 to 776 of the family's 1533-position model. The record is from RNAcentral.
CACGUAGGGGGCAAGCGUUGUCCGGAUUUAUUGGGCGUAAAGAGCUCGUAGGCGGUUCGGUAAGUUGGGUGUGAAACCUCCAGGCUCAACCUGGAGACGCCACCCGAUACUGCUGUGACUAGAGUCCGGUAGGGGAGCGUGGAAUUCCUGGUGUAGCGGUGAAAUGCGCAGAUAUCAGGAGGAACACCAGCGGCGAAGGCGGCGCUCUGGGCCGGAACUGACGUUGAGGAGCGAAAGCGUGGGUAGCAAACAGG